This 492-nucleotide ribosomal RNA is filed under the name uncultured bacterium. RNAcentral describes it as "partial 16S ribosomal RNA". It matches the Rfam family "Bacterial small subunit ribosomal RNA", at positions 29 to 507 of the family's 1533-position model. The record is from RNAcentral.
AGUGAACGCUGGCGGUAGGCCUAACACAUGCAAGUCGAACGGCAGCACAGUAAGAGCUUGCUCUUACGGGUGGCGAGUGGCGGACGGGUGAGGAAUACAUCGGAAUCUACUUUUUCGUGGGGGAUAACGUAGGGAAACUUACGCUAAUACCGCAUACGACCUACGGGUGAAAGCAGGGGAUCUUCGGACCUUGCGCGAUUGAAUGAGCCGAUGUCGGAUUAGCUAGUUGGCGGGGUAAAGGCCCACCAAGGCGAUGAUCCGUAGCUGGUCUGAGAGGAUGGUCAGCCACACUGGAACUGAGACACGGUCCAGACUCCUACGGGAGGAAGCAGUGGGGAAUAUUGGACGAUGGGCGCAAGCCUGAUCCAGCCAUACCGCGUGGGUGAAGAAGGCCUUCGGGUUGUAAAGCCCUUUUGUUGGGAGAGAAAAGCAGCAGGUUAAUACCCCGCUGUUCUGACGGUACCCAAAGAAUAAGCACCGGCUAACUUCGUG